Molecule: long non-coding RNA, 995 nt
Filed under: Numida meleagris (helmeted guineafowl)
Lineage: Eukaryota; Metazoa; Chordata; Aves; Galliformes; Numididae
Description: lncRNA (ENSNMEG00000017954.1)
Source: RNAcentral
AAAAUGAUCAUGUUAAUUAAACUUCAGCCAGUAUUGACAUUUGGAAGAGUUGCUGUGAUCCUGAUGAGAGCUGUCAUUCUUCUGCUUCAUGUCCACACUCUCAUGCCCCACCAAAGGAACAAACUGAGCUUCAGGGGUUGCUUGCUCCAACAGGACUGCUUGGAUUUUGAAAACUACAGCACAGCAGCCUACCGGACUAAAGAUACCUUCUUACUUUUGGCAGAAAACUUUUGCUUUUUUUUUUUUUUUUCUUUCACCUCCUUAUAAUUUUCCUAUGUCUUUUAUUUUUUAAAGCACUUCCAACAUCUGUUUGUGUGUGCACAUAUGUAUGCACUUGCUUCCGUGCCGCUGAUGGACUCAUACUGUGAGCACUGAGAAGGCAAAGGGUUAUGUGGUCUCUCUGCCUCAGUUCCUGUGUUGUUUUGUUCCCUGAGGAAAAUUAACCGUAUGAAAUGCAGUCUGGUUUUCAAAAAAAUAUCAAUGCAAGAUCAACAAAUUAAUGCUGGCAGCUUUCCUACCCGGUACUUUCCAAUUUUCCCAUGCACAGAUUCCCCUGACAUGUUUGUCUCUACCACUGAGGACAUCUACUGAUUCAAAGCCCUCUGCUCUGCAAGCACAGAGCCUGUGCCGUGUACCAGAGUGUGGACCAACCGCAGGCACGGACACCUCUCUUUCAAGACAGUCUGGUUCCCCAAGACGUGACCCAGCAUUUCAGCUAGAGAAAGAAGAAAGCCCUUGGAGAAGGAGUUACUGGCUGGUAUUUCAGUUCAUACUGGAAUGCCACAGUUAAUUGUUGCAUCAUUGCAUUCAACAGAAGCUGAAUCUAGGCAUCACAUAAACAGGCAAAGAUAUCCACAAAAGACAGUAUCUUACAAAGUUGUUUCGUUUCAGAUUCAUCUGUCUAAGGCAGCCAUUGACAGUGACUCUGUGUAACUUUUAAUUAGUGUAUACCUACAAGACUUUAAUAAACUAUUUACAAAUGGGCUGCUCUGUCA